AUUGAACGCUGGCGGCAGGCCUAACACAUGCAAGUCGAGCGGAUGAAGGGAGCUUGCUCCUGGAUUCAGCGGCGGACGGGUGAGUAAUGCCUAGGAAUCUGCCUGGUAGUGGGGGAUAACGUCCGGAAACGGGCGCUAAUACCGCAUACGUCCUGAGGGAGAAAGUGGGGGAUCUUCGGACCUCACGCUAUCAGAUGAGCCUAGGUCGGAUUAGCUAGUUGGUGGGGUAAAGGCCUACCAAGGCGACGAUCCGUAACUGGUCUGAGAGGAUGAUCAGUCACACUGGAACUGAGACACGGUCCAGACUCCUACGGGAGGCAGCAGUGGGGAAUAUUGGACAAUGGGCGAAAGCCUGAUCCAGCCAUGCCGCGUGUGUGAAGAAGGUCUUCGGAUUGUAAAGCACUUUAAGUUGAGGAAGGGCAGUAAGUUAAUACCUUGCUGUUUUGACUUUACCAACAGAAUAAGCACCGGCUAACUUCGUG
RNAcentral lists this ribosomal RNA (482 nucleotides) under uncultured bacterium. Its description in RNAcentral is "partial 16S ribosomal RNA". It matches the Rfam family "Bacterial small subunit ribosomal RNA", at positions 30 to 507 of the family's 1533-position model. The record is from RNAcentral.